AUCUGCAGUCGAGGGGCAGCAGGGGUAGCAAUACCCGCUGGCGACCGGCAAACGGGUGCGGAACACGUACGCAACCUUCCUUCAAGCGGGAGAUAGCCCGGAGAAAUCCGGAUUAAUAUCCCAUAGGAUUGUGGAUCGGCAUCGAUCAGCAAUUAAAGAUUUAUCACUUGAAGAUGGGCGUGCGUCUGAUUAGGUAGUUGGUGAGGUAACGGCUCACCAAGCCGACGAUCAGUAACUGGCGUGAGAGCGCGACCAGUCACACGGGCACUGAGACACGGGCCCGACUCCUACGGGAGGCAGCAGUAAGGAAUAUUGGUCAAUGGACGCAAGUCUGAACCAGCCAUGCCGCGUGGAGGAUGAAGGUCCUCUGGAUUGUAAACUUCUUUUAUCUGGGAAGAAAUGGUUGCUUUCUAGCGAUCUUGACGGUACCAGAUGAAUAAGCACCGGCUAACUCCGUGCCAGCAGCCGCGGUAAUACGGAGGGUGCAAGCGUUAUCCGGAUUCACUGGGUUUAAAGGGUGCGUAGGCGGAACAGAAAGUCCGUUGUGAAAUCUCCGAGCUUAACUCGGAAAUUGCGGUGGAUACUAUUGUUCUUGAAUAUUGUUGAGGUUAGCGGAAUAUGUCAUGUAGCGGUGAAAUGCAUAGAUAUGACAUAGAACACCAAUUGCGAAGGCAGCUGGCUAAACAAAUAUUGACGCUGAGGCACGAAAGCGUGGGGAUCAAACAGGAUUAGAUACCCUGGUAGUCCACGCCCUAAACGAUGAUUACUCGACAUUUGCGAUACACAGCAAGUGUCUGAGCGAAAGCAUUAAGUAAUCCACCUGGGAAGUACGACCGCAAGGUUGAAACUC
RNAcentral lists this ribosomal RNA (850 nucleotides) under uncultured bacterium. RNAcentral describes it as "bacterial SSU rRNA". It matches the Rfam family "Bacterial small subunit ribosomal RNA", at positions 53 to 902 of the family's 1533-position model. The record is from RNAcentral.